Molecule: ribosomal RNA, 235 nt
Filed under: uncultured bacterium
Lineage: Bacteria
Description: partial 16S ribosomal RNA
Rfam family: Bacterial small subunit ribosomal RNA
Source: RNAcentral
CGGGACGGGUGAGUAACGCGUGGAUAACCUGCCUCACACUGGGGGAUAACAGUUAGAAAUGGCUGCUAAUACCGCAUAGGCGCACAGUACCGCAUGGUACGGUGUGAAAAACCCAGGCGGUGUGAGAUGGAUCCGCGUCUGAUUAGCCAGUUGGCGGGUAACGGCCCACCAAAGCGACGAUCAGUAGCCGACCUGAGAGGGUGACCGGCCACAUUGGGACUGAGACACGGCCCAA